This 520-nucleotide unclassified non-coding RNA is filed under the name uncultured Glomus. RNAcentral's name for it is "SSU rRNA". It matches the Rfam family "Eukaryotic small subunit ribosomal RNA", at positions 569 to 1093 of the family's 1831-position model. Lineage: Eukaryota; Fungi; Glomeromycota; Glomeromycetes; Glomerales; Glomeraceae. The record is from RNAcentral.
AGCAGCCACGGUAAUUCCAGCUCCAAUAGCGUAUAUUAAAGUUGUUGCAGUUAAAAAGCUCGUAGUUGAAUUUCGGGAUCAAUAUGUUGGUCGUGCCUCGGUACGUACUAGCAUAUUGGUUUCUCCUUUCUGAAGAACCAUGAUGCCAUUUAUUUGGUGUCGUGGGGAAUCAGGACUGUUACUUUGAAAAAAUUAGGGUGUUUAAAGCAGGCUCACGCUUGAAUACAUUAGCAUGGAAUAAUGAAAUAGGACGUUUGAUUCUAUUUUGUUGGUUUCUAGGAUCGACGUAAUGAUUAAUAGGGAUAGUUGGGGGCAUUAGUAUUCAAUUGUCAGAGGUGAAAUUCUUGGAUUUAUUGAAGACUAACUACUGGGAAAGCAUUUGCCAAGGAUGUUUUCAUUAAUCAAGAACGAAAGUUAGGGGAUCGAAGACGAUCAGAUACCGUCGUAGUCUUAACCAUAAACUAUGCCGACUAGGGAUCGGAUGAUGUUAAUUUUUAAUGACCCAUUCGGCGCCUUACGG